AUACGUAGGGUGCGAGCGUUGUCCGGAAUUACUGGGCGUAAAGAGCUCGUAGGUGGUUUGUCGCGUCGUCUGUGAAAUUCCGGGGCUUAACUCCGGGCGUGCAGGCGAUACGGGCAUAACUUGAGUACUGUAGGGGAGACUGGAAUUCCUGGUGUAGCGGUGAAAUGCGCAGAUAUCAGGAGGAACACCGGUGGCGAAGGCGGUUCUCUGGGCAGUAACUGGCGCUGAGGAGCGAAAGCAUGGGUAGCGAACAGGAUUAGAUACCCUGGUAGUCCAUGCCGUAAACGGUGGGCGCUAGGUGUAGGGGUCUUCCACGACUUCUGUGCCGUAGCUAACGCAUUAAGCGCCCCGCCUGGGGAGUACGGCCGCAAGGCUAAAACUCAAAGGAAUUGACGGGG
RNAcentral lists this ribosomal RNA (398 nucleotides) under uncultured bacterium. RNAcentral describes it as "partial 16S ribosomal RNA". It matches the Rfam family "Bacterial small subunit ribosomal RNA", at positions 523 to 918 of the family's 1533-position model. The record is from RNAcentral.